This is a long non-coding RNA of Gallus gallus (chicken), 3246 nucleotides long. RefSeq lists it as uncharacterized. Lineage: Eukaryota; Metazoa; Chordata; Aves; Galliformes; Phasianidae. The record is from RefSeq and is a predicted model, not a curated record. The transcript is spliced from 3 exons.
GCUAGAAGCCACGGGAGCACAUUGCUGUGCUGCUGAGCCACAACCCAGCUGCUGUGCAGCAGAGCAGCUCGCUCUGGCUGGGGUGGUCCGAGCGGUCCCCAUCUGCUGUUUGUUUGGCACACAGUGCUUUCCCAUUGUGACGGAGCUGGGUGGUGGGUUCCAACUCGGGUGCCUGCAAGUUGGGUCUCCUGGCCACUUGAUGGGAGGCUGUGGACAUCUGGCAUCUCCUCCAUCCCCCGGAGCUCUGGCUCAGCCUUUGUGAUUCUAUGAUUCUCAGCGUUGGGACUGUGACUACGGAGACUUUAGAUCUGACCCGACGUGCUGAGCGCCGAGGCUGUGAUGGAUCGUAACGCUGAGUUAUUUGCAGCUCAGUGGCUGGCAGGCAUCUGUGAAGUCGUCUCAUUCUGAGAAUGGGCCUGUAAAACAGGUUUGGGAUGAAGGAUCCCCUUUCAAAAUGAAGGGCUGUCUGAAAGGGAGGGGGUCUGGUGCUGCUGAUGAAUCAAGCUGACCAGAGGGGUUUAUGUGAGCGUCCAGGCUGCAAUUGGCAGCUCUCUCUUUUCAGUGGUGUGGUUAUUACACGGCCUUACAGUCUUUUUAGUGGCUGUUUCUUGUGAUGGUUCUGGUGGAGGUGUUACUUUUGCUUUAAGUCUGUAGCAGGAAAUUCAUGCAAAGUGGAGCUGGGGGAGGCAUUAAGGGUUUUCUGGGUACAAUAGGCAAAUACCAAUGGGUGGAAACUUAGAAAAAAUACCUCCGUCUUCCACGGCAAGUUGUCUCUGUCUGACCCCUGUGCCAGCACAGCAGGAAGGGGAUGGGGGGCUCCCAGCUUGGCUCUGUGACAUGGCAGAUGCUGGUGUGCUCUCCCUUUGCCUCACAGCAACCCCAAGCUUUCCACUGCUUCCCCAAAUGCCCUAACCAGUAGGCGUCUGCAUACUGGCUUGCUUGCAUUCCUCUUAAGCUGCACUUUCUCUGUCUGCACAGUGCAGCAGUUACCUCAUUCUGUGGAAGGCUCUUCAGCUGUCCCUCAGUUUCCCACCAGCACAAUACAGCAGCUUUCCCCCCUACAGGCCCACAGAGGGGAGAAACUCAUGGAAGGGGCUGUAGACUGCAUCAUUCUGCAGUAUGGAAGGAACUGGAGCGUAAUACACCUCACUGCAUGACAGCUACCCUGCAGCUGCUGAGCGCAAAGUGAUGCCAUGGCAGCUGGGGUUGGGGUUGCCCCGGUGUGGGGUUUUUGCUCACUCUUUCCACAUAGGCCAGCAGCAGCACCAGGCACACUUUGCCACUCCACCAAUUUGUGGUCAUGUUCCAGCUCAGUCGAUUUGCAAGACUUGAAAAGAAGAGGUGAUGCACACAAGGGACCCGGCAGCGCUCGUCCCUCCCUGUGGUUCUUGCUAAGGCUCCACCAAUGCAGAAUAGAUCAGGGCUAGGAAUAAACAUUUGUAAGCAACAGCUACCCUGUUAAUUGUUUUUGUCUGAGUGAAUGCUCCCUCAAGUUACAACACGACCAAGAUUCCUUGUCAGGAGAAACUUGCACAUGUGUAUGAUUCAUUGAUAAAGCCCUAAAUCCUCUGGGCUUAGCAGCAGCAGAAUCAGCACAAGGCAAGCACAGACCUUACCAGAACAGCAUCAACGCUCUGGGAGAGAAAUCAAACACCAUUUAAAUCCUAGGUGAAGGUUCCUCCACCCAGAUCUGCCUGCCUAUGUACAAGCAAGGUGUUGUAGGCUCAUCCAAACAUGGGGAGAAGCUUUGGCCAGUUUUCAUUCUUCAGGGGAGCUUUCUCAAUGGAAAUGGCUGAGAGGAAUCGGACAACCUGGCGCAGCUUGAUGAAGGUUAGGCUUACACUGUGUAAUCUUUCAGAGCCAACAUCAAAACACAAGACCAAGCAAUCAUGAAACAAACAGCAGAUAGCAAUCCCUGCAGGAAUUUCUUUGAGAGACCGUCUGAGACGUGCAAGAAGCUUUGUCUGGUUCCAGCCAGGCUGCAAGGUGAAGAUGGCAUAGCAAGAGAAUACCAACAACUGCAAGGAAAGACAGAGAAGCUCUAAAAAAGAUGUUCCUCCAGCAUUAUGAGUUAAACCUUCUUAGCACUGUAAAUUGUUCUUCUGAAUUACGUGUAACUCAAGAAUUUCCAACAGCGGGUACUUGUACGUGCCUGUUCGCCACAUCAGAGCUCUUGGGCUGUGAUUAAGGCUGGGAUCCAGCAGGUCUGGGUGCCCUUCCAGCUCCUGCCAUGGGCUGGCUGUGACUCUAGGCAAAUGGUUUAAUGUGACCGCUUUAUGGGUCUCCUUUCUGUCAUCUCUCCUGCCCUGUCUGGAUAGACCAGAAGGUCUCCAGGCUGGGGUAUGUCUUUACAGAACUGACUGUGGUGGGACCCUGACCUUCGCUGGAGCAAGUGGGAUAAUUGUGCAUCCACCCAGAAAGCAAACAGAAUGAGAAUUCAGGCAAACAAAGGCGGAAGACUUUCAUUAGAGAAGAGCACUGGUUCACACGCCAGUCCCAUCUCUUUAGAUGUCCCUCUUCUAAGACUGUUGUAGUAACACUUCAGGGAAAAAUUAAACGUUCUGUGUUUGCACCAAGCUUUUUUUUUUCUUCAUCUAAGCUUCAAAAGACUUUUCCCACAGGUGGGGUUCAACAUCAUUAUCUCCGUAACAGAAAAGACAAACAAGAAGGCAGAAGCUCACUCCAGGGAGCUGACAUCACAGUUUUCUGUUGUAACCACAACCUUGAGCAGCACUGAUCUGUGUGCCCACGUUCAGGAGGUCCUUAUCUCAGGCAUGGCCCCACUUUGCAGCACUGUACAAACACGGUCACAGCUUGAAAACUGAGGAUGUGGGGCUUUAGUUCAGCUCCUGCUGAAAGCCAGUGCUGUGAUCAGGUUGGGUUCUGCACCCAACAAAACAGUCUGCUGCACAACACCAUGGAUGUGCUUCUAUACCAGGCUGUCUGUAGACAGUCCCAGUGCAGCAGAGCCUUGGCAACGUCAGUCCUCCACUAAACCCUUCCCAACCACCUCCCUUGCAUCCCAGGAUUACAUUGCAGCCAUGAUUUUAGGAGAGACAGUAGGAGAGAGAGAAAAAGCUCUGGAGCGACAUUGAGUUCAAUUGGAAAGAUGAUUGGGAAAAAAAGCAAUGAGAGAAGCCUUAUAUUACCUCUUUCCCUGCUUUCUCGAUCUCCACCGUCACCGUGCUGUGGUUCUUAUGCUCCUGGAACAUGCAGAGGUAGCAGAUGCACAUCUGGUCUGUCUGA